This 408-nucleotide ribosomal RNA is filed under the name uncultured bacterium. RNAcentral's name for it is "partial 16S ribosomal RNA". It matches the Rfam family "Bacterial small subunit ribosomal RNA", at positions 28 to 526 of the family's 1533-position model. The record is from RNAcentral.
GACGAACGCUGGCGGCGUGCUUAACACAUGCAAGUCGAGCGGAGUGGGGAACGGGUGAGUAACACGUGGGUGACCCUCCCUGCGCUUCGGGAUUAGCGUGAGAAGCGGGGUUUACUACCGCGUCGUGUGGGAGGGGUCGGCGGCCUAUCAGCUUGUUGGGGGUGUAAUGGCCUACCAGGGCGGCGACGGGUAGCCGGCCUGAGAGGGUGGACGGCCACAUUGGGACUACGACACGGACCAGACUCGUACGGGAGGCAGCAGGGGGGAAUAUUGCACAAUGGGCGGAAGCCUGAUGCAGCGACGCCGCGUGGGGGAUGACGGCCUUCGGGUUGUAAACUCCUGUCACCAUCGACGCGGUAGAUGGAGAAGAAGCACCGGCUAACUACGUGCCAGCAGCCGCGGUAAUAC